UACGUAGGGGGCUAGCGUUGUCCGGAAUCAUUGGGCGUAAAGAGCGUGUAGGCGGUCCGGUAAGUCCGCUGUGAAAGUCGGGGGCUCAACCCUCGAAUGCCGGUGGAUACUGUCGGGCUCGAGUCCGGAAGAGGAGUGUGGAAUUCCUGGUGUAGCGGUGAAAUGCGCAGAUAUCAGGAAGAACACCAAUGGCGAAGGCAGCACUCUGGGACGUGACUGACGCUGAGACGCGAAAGCGUGGGGAGCAAACAGG
This 253-nucleotide ribosomal RNA is filed under the name uncultured bacterium. RNAcentral's name for it is "partial 16S ribosomal RNA". It matches the Rfam family "Bacterial small subunit ribosomal RNA", at positions 524 to 776 of the family's 1533-position model. The record is from RNAcentral.